AGAGCGAACGCUGGCGGCGUGCUUAACACAUGCAAGUCGAACGCGCAGCAUUCUGUAGCAAUACAGGGUGUGGGCGCGUGGCGAACGGGUGCGUAACACGUGGAUAACCUUCCUUCAGGUGGGGAAUAACCCAGUGAAAAUUGGGCUAAUACCGCAUAACAAAACGAUGAGACAUCUUGUUGUUUUCAAAGGCGCAAGUCGCCAGAAGAGGGAUCCGCGGCCGAUUAGCUUGUUGGCGAGGUAAUGGCUCACCAAGGCAAUGAUCGGUAGCCGGACUGAGAGGUUGGCCGGCCACACUGGAACUGAGACACGGUCCAGACUCCUACGGGAGGCAGCAGUGGGGAAUCUUGCACAAUGGGCGAAAGCCUGAUGCAGCAACGCCGCGUGGGGGAUGAAGCUUCUCGGAGUGUAAACCCUUUCGACCCGGAAGAAAGCCCGCAAGGGUUGACGGUACGGGUAUAAGAAGCCCCGGCUAACUACGUGCCAGCAGCCGCGGUAAUCUGA
RNAcentral lists this ribosomal RNA (504 nucleotides) under uncultured bacterium. Its description in RNAcentral is "SSU rRNA". It matches the Rfam family "Bacterial small subunit ribosomal RNA", at positions 26 to 528 of the family's 1533-position model. The record is from RNAcentral.